Molecule: ribosomal RNA, 513 nt
Filed under: uncultured bacterium
Lineage: Bacteria
Description: partial 16S ribosomal RNA
Rfam family: Bacterial small subunit ribosomal RNA
Source: RNAcentral
GACGAACGCUGGCGGCAUGCCUAAUACAUGCAAGUCGAGCGAACAGAUGAAGUGCUUGCGCUUCUGACGUUAGCGGCGAACGGGUGAGUAACACGUAAGGAAUCUACCUAUAAGCGGGGGAUAACAUUCGGAAACGGGUGCUAAUACCGCAUAAUAUCUUCUUCCGCAUGGAAGAAGAUUGAAAGACGGCUCUGCUGUCACUUAUAGAUGACCUUGCGGUGCAUUAGUUAGUUGGUGGGGUAAUGGCUUACCAAGACGAUGAUGCAUAGCCGACCUGGGAGGGUGAUGGGCCACAUUGGGACUGAGACAAGGCCCAAACUCCUACGGGAGGCAGCAGUAGGGAAUCUUCCGCAAUGGGCGAAAGCCUGACGGAGCAAUGCCGCGUGAGUGAAGAAGGCCUUCGGGUCGUAAAACUCUGUUAUAAGAGAAGAACAAAUUGUAGAGUAACUGCUACAGUCUUGACGGUAUCUUAUCAGAAAGCCACGGCUAACUACGUGCCAGCAGCCGCAGUAA